Molecule: ribosomal RNA, 238 nt
Filed under: uncultured bacterium
Lineage: Bacteria
Description: partial 16S ribosomal RNA
Rfam family: Bacterial small subunit ribosomal RNA
Source: RNAcentral
AACGAACGCUGGCGGCGCGCUUAACACAUGCAAGUCGAACGAGAAGGCGUAGCAAUACGCUUGUACAGUGGCGAACGGGUGAGGAAUACAUGGGUAACCUACCCUCGAGUGGGGGAUAACCCGCCGAAAGGCGGGCUAAUACCGCGUACGCUUCCGAUCUUGCGGGAUUGGAAGGAAAGCUGUCCCUUGGGGGAUGGCGCUCAAGGAUGGGCUCAUGUCCUAUCAGCUUGUUGGAGGU